GGGAGGUGGAUGUCUCGCCCAAAAGACUUCGGCUCGUGCUUGGUAUAGUGCACCAGUGCGCGUAGUGCCAGUGUUUUUACUUGUUAGUCCUUGAGAAGUCCCCCGAGAUAGGUCAGAAGUUGCGAUGGAAGACGACUCAAAUUGCCCUGUUGAGGAACAGGUAUCUGUUAGUGAUAACAGGUCAUGACGACACAGUAAAAGGAAACGACAUUGGGUCAUGAAUGGAUUGGUUAUGAUAUUGAUGUUGUGAUGGAAUAUGUUAUAUGUUUAUAUUACUCUAUGAUUAAAAUGAAUUAUGCUUUAUUGUGUGUUAUGAUAUUUCUGGUUGCUCACCCUGAAAGUUGUGGUUGUGGUUUCCACCUACGGUGAUCGUACUUGUACGGGAGUAGAUGGCAUUGCAGAUAAAACUGGACAGAAGUAGCUGACGUGAGAGUUGGGACAUUUGAGUUCGGGGGUUUAUUAUUUAGUUUAAAAGUUUUCCAGUUUAAUAUUUUUAUGUAAAAGUGAGAUUCUAAGAUUUUCAAACGAUGUUUAUAGUCAUGAUUUAAUUCCGCCUUUGAAUUGAAUGUAUUAUAGAAAGGUUUUGAAAAAAAAAAAAUGUCACCGUGACAUUUCGAAAAACCGGGGUGUUACAGCAUGUGCCUUCCAAAUCAUAUGAAACCGUGCCUCCUCCCUUUCCAUGCAACAAAAACGUAACUCACACACACCAAGACUCCAAAUUGCCAAGCCACACAAUUGUUGGGUGCAAAGAAUGCUUCUAAAA
Molecule: long non-coding RNA, 763 nt
Filed under: Vigna radiata
Lineage: Eukaryota; Viridiplantae; Streptophyta; Magnoliopsida; Fabales; Fabaceae
Description: long non-coding RNA (VRAD_LNC017236)
Source: RNAcentral